RNAcentral lists this long non-coding RNA (5384 nucleotides) under Marmota monax (woodchuck). The record is from RNAcentral. Lineage: Eukaryota; Metazoa; Chordata; Mammalia; Rodentia; Sciuridae.
AUGUGGUGUCUCAUUGUAGUUUUCAUCUGUAAUGACAGACAAUGGUAAGGAUCUUCUCAUGUUUUUUUUUUGCAUCUAUUUAUCUUCUUUGGUGUCUGUUCAAAUAUUUUUGUUCUUUUUUAUUGCCUUGUUUUCUUAUUGAAUUUUGAAGAUCUUUAUACUUUUUGAACAUAAAUCUUUUAUCAUAUACAGGAUUUACAAAUAUUUUCUCCCAAACCUGGGUUGUCUUCUUGUUUGCUUAGGCCUUUUGAUGAGCAGAAAUUUUAAACUUUGAUCAAAUCCAAGGUGAGCCAGCCCAUCAUAGGGAAAGAGGCCGGAGAAAGAAAGUUGCUCAGCCUGGCAGAGUCAGGAAGCAGGGGGGUAAGAUCUACCCUUCCAGGGCUCGCCUCCCAUUUAUCCAUUUGUUCUUUCAUAGAUUGUACUUUGGGUGACAUACCUAAGAAAUCUUUGAUAAAUCACAAAGGUUUUCAAAACUCUCAGAUUUUCUUCAGUUUUUUGGUUGCAGGCAGUACAUUUAAUUAUGGCCCAUUCAGAGUUAGGUUUUAAUUACGGAAUAAGGUAUUCCAUAAUUUCAAGUUCAUUUUUUUUCCUCUAUGAAAAUACAGUUAUUACAGCAUUACUUCUCAGAAAGACUGUUUUACAUCCACUGAAUUACCUUUGUGUGUUUAUUGAAAAUCGUUUGUCUUUAUACACAUGAAAGUUUUUCUGGACUUUCUGUUCUGUCCCAUUAUUCUGUUUGUCCAUCUUUACACCAAUAUUAUUCUGUCUUAAUUGCCAUAUGUUUUAGUUAGCUUUUUUGACAGUGUGACAAAAACACCCAACAAUAACAGCUCUAAAAAAGUUCAUUUAGGGCUCAUGGUGUCAAAGAUCUCAGUUCAUGGAUGGCCAACUUCACGGUUACUGGUAUAUAGAAAUACAAUUAAUUGAUUUUUUUUUUGGAUGUUGAUCUACUACUCUACCAUCUCACUAAGCCUUCUUAUUAGUUUUAGUAGCUUUGUAUAGAUUACCUCAGAUAUUUUUACCUUGACAGGUAUGUCAUCUAUGAGUAGACAUUCUUCAUUUAUACUCUGGAUGACUUAUUUCUUCUUGAAUAGAAUUGAGAUUUUGUGGUCCUGGAAGUAUAGAUACCUGAUUUUUAAUGCAAUUCUGCCAUAACUCAUGGGCAGCCUUUGGCAAAUUAUCCAGGGUAACUGAUUAAGGGGCAUCCAGGGUAACUGAUUAAGGAUACAUAUGUCCCUCUCUGAACCCUGAUUACCCUCGGAAGUGAUCUCCAUGUUCUCUGUACCAGUUUGCCCCUUUCCACUUCUAACAUUCAAUCAGACUAAGAAGGCACUCUGAAAGGCAUCAGUGCCCAAGCAAGCCAUGGCCUCCAGGCUCUGACUCCUACCCUCUUCCUGCUAAGCAGUUGACUCACUGAGCUCAUGACCGUUGGGCUGAGUGUCAUUUCUCCUCUCUCCUCAACCUUCCAGUAAAAUAGAGGAGUGGCUACAUUCCGUCAUUCUUCCACCAUUUGUUGUACCGCCUCCUGUGAGCAAGGCCCAGUCUGCAAAGAUGGGUGGGCAUAGGCUUGAAGCUUUUGAUUCACAACAAAACUAGCUAAAAGCCAUUUACAAAUAAAAAGCAAUUUAUUUUUUUUUCUUUGAGAUACUUUCCAUUCUCUUGCUUCCGAAUUCAGUCCUUUUCAAUAGUGUAGUGUUAUACUCCUCUUUCAUGGGCUGUGGUGGGGCAGAUUAAAAAGCUCAGGGGAAAAAAUACUAUCCUCUGGGAACUGAAGAACCCAGCAGGAGAUGGCUUAUUUGCUCUCCAUCUACAUGGAGAGGAACAGUCAGGCAAAUGACAAUGAAUUAUGUUGGAAAAGUCCAGAAUCCUUGAAAAUAGGAAAUUCAGACAACCCCAGGUGAUGGUGGAAAUGAGAAGUAGAAAGGACUUCUAUUCUUUGGAGUGAUCACCACCUGGACCUCACUUUUUCUGAGAUGGAGCUCACCUCCCAUCCAAAGGAAAGCUCAUCCAGCCUUCUUGGCAUCCAGAGCACAGGGCAGCACCUCAGCCUGCCAAUCAGAUGCCCUCACUUCAACCCUUGAACCCAAAGCUGGCGGUAUAGGAACCAUACAGGCUCCUUUUUUGGCAAGUGGUAGCAGCUAUUUCUGGUGCCCUGAAACCUUGGGAGAAUCCACUAUCAGGAAUUGUCUGGUUUCUAAAAUCCAGAAUCAUCUAUUCUGAUCCUUUUGUUUUACAAAUGCAGUGUGGAAAUAAUGAAGAACCAUCAAAUGAACACCGGCAAAGGCUAUUCACUCAGAACUUGCUUUAGAACGGGAGUCAGCCCUGCUUCACCUGCAUUUUAACAGAGAUGGUAAAGCAGGCGGAGGAGAGGGAGGGUUGUAGUGGAAAAGGGGAAGGUUUUAGGUGUGCCUUGACGGGAGGCUGUUGACAUGGGGAAGCCAUAGGUAGGCGAACUACAAGUGGGGCAUCCAGGGUAACUUUUUAAGGAUGCAUAUUUGACUUUUUCUAGUUGGUCUUACAUUGGAGGCAGAGACAAAAAUUAGGGCAGUUGUCAGUUACUAAUCAAGUCAUGACCAUUGGGGGCCAGUUGCUACAGGGACAUUACUUCCUGGGUUUAUGAAUAGAAGAGUGGUCUAACUUUCUACAAACAUGACUUAAAAGACUGUAGUGGCCUGGCUUCCUGGACUCUUUAUUGUAAAUAUUGGGCUUGUUUACUGGGCUGGUGCUGCAAAUUGUGGGUCAGAGUUCUAUUUUACAUAGAGUCUGACCACUGUCUAUGUGUAUAUUCCAUCGGGUCAGCAGAAACUGAGGCCCACAGAGGAAGAGUACAGCUAAUUGUAGCAAGUGCUGAUUGGCCCGUCUGAGGGUGACCAUGUUUCUCCUGUCAUUACCAAAGAAGCUGACGUUCUGUUUGUUGGGGGAGACAAGUUAGAUUCCCGGAGAGACAAAAUUCAACAUGGAUGUCAUAGAGAGAGGUUGCACUGGGAGGUUAAUGGCUUAUUCUGCAGCUUGGCAAGAAGGCUUGUCACUUCCCUAAUGCAGCCAGAACCAUGGGUGGUCAGGCACGUUCUCUGUACUGGGCCUGCUGUCCUUCCAGAAAAGUGCAGAGAGAAAAAGCAUGGUUCUCCAGCCUACCUACCUGCAUUCCUCUUUAACAUCCACCAUCCGUAGCUGUGUGAACUUGGAUUAGAUUCUCUACCUCCUUGUUCUUCAGUUUCCUCAGGUGUGAAAUGGAAAUAAUCCCUAUCUUAUGCUCGUGUGCAAACUAGAUGAGCAGACCUGAGCAAAACACGUAAACACUUCGGCAAAUGAACUAUUACAAUCCCAUUGAGUCCUCGAAUCAAGUCGGUGAGGUAAGUCAUAUAAUCCCCACUUUGUAGAUAAACUAAGGAUGGUGAUGUCACUUGUCCAAAAUGGUGAAGGUCAAAGUCAGAAUUUUCACUCAUGUUUCUAGGAAGAUAAAGGUCAUUAUUUUUGUCUACCAUGCUUCUGAACCCAAAAUACCAUUUGUGGGAAAGAGAACAGUGGGGUAGAAACUAUGUAGGACUGUAGGCUCAGGAGUCCCACAUUCAAGUCUUGGUUCUCUAUUAGCUAUAAAGUAUUGCACAAAUUACCUACCAUCUCUGGGUAUAUUAUCACUUUUAAACUGAUGAUAAUACUACCUGCUUCACAGGGCUGUUUUACAGAUUAAAUACCAUAAUGUAUAUGAAGUUCCGAUAUAGUGCUCAGCACAUGGGAAAUACUUAAGAAAUGACAACUAUUUUUUCUACAGUCCCCCUUGUCUUCAGGAGGUAUAUUCUGAGUACCCCAGGGGAUGACUGAAACCAAGGAUUGUAUUGAACUCUCUAUAUAGUUAUUCCUCAGUGUCUGUAAGGAAUUGGUUUCAGGCCCCCUUUCCUCCCCCCAGGAUACCAAAGCCCAAGGGUACUCAAGUCCCUUAUGUAAAUGGUGCAGUAUUUGCCCAUAACCUGUACAGAUCCUCCCAUACACUUUAAAUCAUCUUUUAGAUUACUUAUAAUACUUAAUACAAUGCAAAUAUUAUAGGAAUAUCUAAUACUGUAUUUUUAGGGAAUAACAACAAGAAAAAUGUCUGUACAUAUUCAGUACAGACACAACCUUUUUUUAAUCCACAGAUGCAGAAUCAUCAGAUUCAGAGGACUGUGUGUGUGCUAUUCUUCUCCUGUACAUAUAUUCCUAUGAUGAAGUUUAAUGUAUAAAUUAGACACCACAAUAACUAAAUGAAAUAGAAUAAUUUUAACAAUAUACUGUAAUAAAAGUUAUUUAAAUCUUAUAAAUUGUUUACUUCUGGAAUCUUCCAUGUAAUGUUUUCAGAUGAUGGUUGACAGUGGGUAACUGAAAUUGCAGAAAGUGAAGCUGAGGGUUAGGGGAGACUGUUGUAUGUGAUUGAAAGGGACUAUCAAAAACCAUUCUGCAGAGUCUGCCCCUCGAUAGCCCUGCUUCCAUGAAGUUUUCCCUAACCCCAAACUGGAUUUGACCUCUCCAUUGUUGAAUUUCCCAUUAUCAGUGCUGGGUAAGGCAAGCAGAGUAGAGACAAGGAGGAGCAGAUGGGUCCUGCCAGUGGAGGAAUAGACAGGCAAAGAGGUGAUCGGUCAAUGGCAACAUGGUAACACAGAGCUCCCCCAAACUAACACAUCCCAUGACCCAGACCUCCAGAAGAGUCCAAAACACUUUCUAAAAAAAAAAAAAAAAGUGGAGAAGGCUUUGUCCUCGGCUCUAUGGGUAAACCUCAGACAACCCCAUCUGGAAGACCAGAUCCUCAGCAGGUAAAAGCACCCUCCCCUUUGCCAUCCUUCGAAGGCAAUGAUUCUCAUUUUAGCACUGAAGUCCACAUAGCUGGCUUCUCAACUCUCUUCCUGAAGAUUCAAAGCUAAGUUAAGCCAAGUUUGUUUGUCAGACAGAACUAGGAGACAUGCAACGGAAAAAUCUGGUAGAAGAGGGAUUAAAAAGGAUAAAAAUCUCAGAAAAUAGGUGACAGUAAGGGGAUAUGAAUAAUAUAAAAGUAGAAAACAGAAAAGACCCUCUUUUGCAUCACCUGAGAAGGGGUUUCUGUUUUCCAGAGGAAGAAGCUAAAUUUCAAGAAGGGUAAGUUCUGUACCCAAAAUCACUCUGGGAAUGAGAAUUGAGUUAUGAUUUGAACACAUCAAAUAAGAUCUGGGGAGAAAAAAAUACUUAAAGGUGAUUAUCCAUGGAUUGUGGGAUUAUGGAUGAUUUCAAUUUUCUAUAUAUUUCUCUGUAUUUUCCAAAUUUUCUGUACUGAGCAGUUGUUACUUGUAUACUGACAAAAAAAGUAUAUCAGGUUUAAUAUUUGAAGUUACUAGAAGUUCAUAAUAUUUUAUGUUCAAGUUAUUAAAUACUAAUUAAAG